UUGCUUAAGCGCACGGAAACUUAAUCGGCGUUGCGGUGAGAUGUACGAGCGGAUAAUCAGGACAAAAGGGGCGGAACACGAUUCGAUUAAUGGAUCGACGCAGUCCACUUCGUUGGCAUCGAACGGAACCCGCCCUUUAUGGUGUUUACGGAUCUAUUUAGAAAUUUCCUGGCCGUUAGGCACAUGGCCAAAUAAGCAUGGUCAUCAAUAAACCGAAUGGCGAUGCCUGUGCUGAAACUUGGAAAAAUCAAUAGACAACGAGAGGAAACAUUACAGGUGACUUCCGACUGCUUCCUGCACGCGGAAACAUUGGCGGAUUAAGGACAGUGAUAAUUUCUAUCCAUCUAACUACAGGACGAAUUAUACGGCGAUCUCUACGACAUAAAGUUUCAGAUAUUCCGAGUCGCAGAAUUACGCAAGCAGAUACGGAGAGUGAGCUCAUGCAUAAAACAAGAAAGAGAUACAGCUGACACGAUUGCUUCAAUCGAUAUGUGAAAUCGCAACGAUUUCCAGCACUUGCCGGCAUAAAUCGCAAAGGCGGAAAGGUGACGAGAAAACAAAUGGCGGUAGAGUGACAAUGAGUAGUACGGAGGCUCGGAGAAAGAAAUUCAGGCAAGACGGCGAAAAAUUAAAGUAGCGUCCUGAGAAGAAGCGAAAGGAUGAGGGCGGAAGAAAAUGGUCGGGCGACCGUAAAGGCACGUCGAAACAAGCGGGCGUAAAAAACGGGAUGCAAUUGGCGUGGGCUUA
This is a long non-coding RNA of Ooceraea biroi (clonal raider ant), 747 nucleotides long. RefSeq lists it as uncharacterized. Lineage: Eukaryota; Metazoa; Arthropoda; Insecta; Hymenoptera; Formicidae. The record is from RefSeq and is a predicted model, not a curated record.